RNAcentral lists this ribosomal RNA (251 nucleotides) under uncultured Fusobacterium sp. Its description in RNAcentral is "partial 16S ribosomal RNA". It matches the Rfam family "Bacterial small subunit ribosomal RNA", at positions 89 to 339 of the family's 1533-position model. The record is from RNAcentral. Lineage: Bacteria; Fusobacteriati; Fusobacteriota; Fusobacteriia; Fusobacteriales; Fusobacteriaceae.
GUUUGGGUGGCGGACGGGUGAGUAACGCGUAAAGAACUUGCCUCACAGACUGGGACAACAUCUGGAAACGGAUGCUAAUACCGGAUAUUAUGAUUUUAGUGCAUGCUAGGAUUAUGAAAGCUAUAUGCGCUGUGAGAGAGCUUUGCGUCCCAUUAGCUAGUUGGAGAGGUAACGGCUCACCAAGGCGAUGAUGGGUAGCCGGCCUGAGAGGGUGAACGGCCACAAGGGGACUGAGACACGGCCCUUACUCC